AGGGGGGCUUAGAUACCCCUUCCACCACCUCGGCCGAGAAGGAGGGCAGUUUUACCGCGAGUCCUUGUUCAACCGUACCCCAGUGGCGGCUUUUGGAGACUCCCAGGUGCCUGCCCGUCUUCCCGAAGAGGCCCAGCGUCCAGGGCCGUAUCACAUCAAAGACAUUUCACAGGGAAAACAAAACUAGCGGUGUUUGCACUGGGAUAUAGCCCUUGCCGAUCUAGGCGUACCCUCGCACGCACCUCUAGACACAGUCACUAAUUGUAAAAUGUGAGGAACAGCGAAAGCUUAAUCACCUACCUUGUCUUUUCUAGAUGCCUCCGUGUCACAAUGUCUGCAACGGGGACCGGGCGGUUCUGAUUCCCUCUCAAGCGACGUUCCACCGACGACGUCCACAGCAAAACGUCCAAUUUGGACGUGACUGGUUUUCGCCAAGGUACAUAAAUGACGAGAAGAAGACACGCUUCGCAGAUAAGCGACGGUUCUUUGUCGUCGUAGCCAUUAAUGCCCACGUCAGAUGUUCUUCGUAGUAACAAUGAUAGACUGCUUGUGCUAGUCCAGUGGUAAAACCUCCCCAUGAAGUUGUACACAGACGUACAUGCCAUGACGAGGACUGCAUGAUGAUGUCUUGUCGUCCUGAAUAAGACCCAUCUCGUGUGAAGUCCUGUAGAAGCAACAGAGAGAGAGAGCGUUAAGAGAGACCGUUCUAUCCAGAGUGAAAAACCAAAAAUGUGUGAUAAGGCCAGCGAGAGGAAAUGGCUUAUGUAUAAAUAAAAGGUUUGUAGUUCAAUGGAUAGGAGUGACCUUAAGAAGGUUCCUUGCUUCAGUAUAAACGGGUGGGAUUCGGGUAAAAACAUGACAUUUAGCCCUCGCUGGUCUGAUAUUUCCGAAUAUGAGAACAUCGAUUUUACAAAUGCUCCCUGACAGAACUUUGCGAGUAGCUCGCCGCGACCCGCCGCCGUUGGAGAGGGAGAUCAGAAUGUCAGGGGUCGCUCUGAAAUAAUCUAAUCAAAUUGCGGAUGCGACGACCACUUUCUGAUCUUCCUACGAGAAAAAAAAAUAGCUUCUGUAGUUCUCCAAAAUUCAGCAAUGGUUUUGACAGUUUUUUGUAUAUGCUACAAAGAAAACUGCAAGUCUUGUGCAAUAACACUGCCAGAGAACGCCU
Liolophura sinensis is the source of this 1165-nucleotide long non-coding RNA. RefSeq lists it as uncharacterized. NCBI's taxonomy places the organism in Eukaryota, Metazoa, Mollusca, Polyplacophora, Chitonida, Chitonidae. The record is from RefSeq and is a predicted model, not a curated record. The transcript has 2 exons.